AUGAUCGCUCCCUCAGAUUUGACAUCUCUCCAGCUUUCCAGGGAUGCCAUGCCCUUGAUUACCCCACCUGCCCAAGCAGCAUUGAUCUGCUACGAUGGGUCCAGGGAGAAUCUCUCUGAGGAGAUGUGCUGCAGGAGCACGUGGAGCUCAGAGGUCUGGUGCCUCCUCUGGGAGAUUCUCCAGACCUCCUUGGCAAGCAUCCUUGUAACUCAAGCAUCAUCUCAAGGCCUCCUUGUUGCAGUAUUACCCUGUAUUUCUUGUUUCUCAGGAUUCUGUUUGUCCAGUUUUAUAAAAAUGCCUUUGGGAAGCACCACUCAAAAGCCACCAUGGCUUUCCCCAAGAUGGAUCCAUAGCUCCGGUAAUUCUGGCAAUGGUCAUGAGCAGGCGCUUUGCAUGGAGCAAGUGUUACACACAUGCCUAAUUCUCUAAAACAAUUACAGACAGCACCAGUAACAUCCCUGCUGUUCUACCUAGAAGGAGAGAAAAUGUUUUAAUCAGGUCGUUAACAUUAAAUAUGUGCCAAGUAUUGCUACAGCCAAACUUCCAAAUGUAUGGGAUGCUGACAUGAAUCUCCACAAAAGGUUAUUGGGACAUUAAGGUUCCAUGUAAAGAUUCAAGGAGAGAGUGCAUCUGAAAUGCAAAAUCUACUUUCAAAAUCUGUAUAGAUAUUUAGAGGCUUCCCCAAAUAUCACAUCUCCUUAGGUCUAGCUGAAGUCAAUCACAGAGGUUCACAGUAUUCAGCUGAGCUUCCUGGACAUCGGUGGGAUUUUUCAGACCUCUUCACUUCUCAGAAAAAG
Molecule: long non-coding RNA, 797 nt
Filed under: Anser brachyrhynchus (Pink-footed goose)
Lineage: Eukaryota; Metazoa; Chordata; Aves; Anseriformes; Anatidae
Description: lncRNA (ENSABRG00000016851.1)
Source: RNAcentral